AACGAACGCUGGCGGCAUGCCUAACACAUGCAAGUCGAACGAGACCUUCGGGUCUAGUUGCGCACGGGUGCGUAACGCGUGGGAACCUGCCCUUAGGUUCGGAAUAACUCCCCGACAGGGGUGCUAAUACCGGAUAAUGUCUUCGGACCCAAGAUUUAUCGCCUUUGGAUGGGCCCGCGUUGGAUUAGCUAGUUGGUAGGGUAAAAGCCUACCAAGGCGACGAUCCAUAGCUGGUCUGAGAGGAUGAUCAGCCACACUGGGACUGAGACACGGCCCAGACUCCUACGGGAGGCAGCAGUGGGGAAUAUUGGACAAUGGGCGAAAGCCUGAUCAAGCAAUGCCGCGUGAGUGAUGAAGGCCUUAGGGUUGUAAAGCUCUUUUACCCGGGAUGAUAAUGACAGUACCGGGAGAAUAAGCUCCGGCUAACUCCGU
Molecule: ribosomal RNA, 432 nt
Filed under: uncultured bacterium
Lineage: Bacteria
Description: partial 16S ribosomal RNA
Rfam family: Bacterial small subunit ribosomal RNA
Source: RNAcentral